CCUACGGGAGGCAGCAGUGAGGAAUAUUGGUCAAUGGGUUUACGCCUGAACCAGCCAAGUCGCGUGAGGGAAGACUGCCCUAUGGGUUGUAAACCUCUUUUGUCAGGGAGCAAUUGGCGCUACGUGUAGCGUUAUCGAGAGUACCUGAAGAAAAAGCAUCGGCUAACUCCGUGCCAGCAGCCGCGGUAAUACGGAGGAUGCGAGCGUUAUCCGGAUUGAUUGGGUUUAAAGGGUGCGUAGGCGGAAUGCCAAGUCAGCGGUAAAAUCGCGGGGCUCAACCUCGCUCCGCCGUUGAAACUGGCGUUCUUGAGUGGGCGAGAAGUAUGCGGAAUGCGUGGUGUAGCGGUGAAAUGCAUAGAUAUCACGCAGAACUCCGAUUGCGAAGGCAGCAUACCGGCGCCCAACUGACGCUGAAGCACGAAAGCGUGGGUAUCGAACAGGAUUAGAUACCCGGGUAGUC
RNAcentral lists this ribosomal RNA (460 nucleotides) under uncultured bacterium. Its description in RNAcentral is "partial 16S ribosomal RNA". It matches the Rfam family "Bacterial small subunit ribosomal RNA", at positions 338 to 795 of the family's 1533-position model. The record is from RNAcentral.